ACUCCUACGGGAGGGCAGCAGUAGGGAAGUCUUCCACAAUGGGCGCAAGCCUGAUGGAGCAACACCGCGUGAGUGAAGAAGGGUUCGGCUCGUAAAGCUCUGUUGUUAAAGAAGAACACGUAUGAGAGUAACUGUUCAUACGUUGACGGUAUUUAACCAGAAAGUCACGGCUAACUACGUGCCAGCAGCCGCGGUAAUACGUAGGUGGCAAGCGUUAUCCGGAUUUAUUGGGCGUAAAGAGAGUGCAGGCGGUUUUCUAAGUCUGAUGUGAAAGCCUUCGGCUUAACCGGAGAAGUGCAUCGGAAACUGGAUAACUUGAGUGCAGAAGAGGGUAGUGGAACUCCAUGUGUAGCGGUGGAAUGCGUAGAUAUAUGGAAGAACACCAGUGGCGAAGGCGGCUACCUGGUCUGCAACUGACGCUGAGACUCGAAAGCAUGGGGUAGCGAACAGGAUUAGAUACCCUGGUAGGAUAGCG
RNAcentral lists this ribosomal RNA (475 nucleotides) under uncultured bacterium. RNAcentral's name for it is "bacterial SSU rRNA". It matches the Rfam family "Bacterial small subunit ribosomal RNA", at positions 335 to 801 of the family's 1533-position model. The record is from RNAcentral.